RNAcentral lists this ribosomal RNA (975 nucleotides) under Stereocaulon sorediiferum. RNAcentral's name for it is "SSU rRNA". It matches the Rfam family "Bacterial small subunit ribosomal RNA", at positions 167 to 1161 of the family's 1533-position model. Lineage: Eukaryota; Fungi; Ascomycota; Lecanoromycetes; Lecanorales; Stereocaulaceae. The record is from RNAcentral.
UCCCUAAUAUUAAAAAAGAAACUUGUGUUUCGCUCUUAGAAACGUAUAUCUCGUGUAUUGUAGUAGUUAUAGUAAAAGUAUACCUAGCUUAUUAUACGUAGUCGAAACUGGGAGGUUGAUCGAUCACAGUGGACCUGAGCAAAGCCCACGAUGGUAAUCGCAGCAGUGAGGAAUAUUGGUCAAUGGCCUAACGGCUGAACCAGCAACCUGGAAGAAUGUACAGCGAAAGCUGACUGCAUCAAUUAAUAGGUGAUGCAAGCUUGAUAUAGUCAAAUAAAAUUCGGGGUAGUUAAAUGAUAAUGACAUAGCUUACCCAAGUCUUGGUUAAUUUACGUGCCAGCAGCCGCGGUAAUACGUAUAAGGCUAGUGUUAUUCAUUUUUAUUAGGUUUAAAGGGUACGUAGACGGUAAUUAAGCCAAUAUAGGUACUAAUUUACUAGAGUUACACACAAGGGGGUAUUAAAGUACUACAGGUUUAGAGAUGAAAUUCUGUCACACCUCUUUUCAAAAGAAAAAACUAUGGCACAGGUAUUGGUGAAAACAUCCCCUUACGUGAUAACUGACGUUGAAGGACGAAGGCUUUGUGUCGCGAACAGGAUUAGAUACCCUAGUAGUCAAAGGAGAAAAUUAUGAAUGCUCUAGAAUAGACAAAUAUUUUAUUCUAGAAGUGAAAGCGUAAGCAUUCCACCUCAAGAGUAAUUUGGCAACAUUGGAACUGAAAUCAUUAGACCGUUUCUGAAACCAGUAGUGAAGUAUGUUCUUUAAUUUGAUAAUCCACAAAAAACCUUACCACGAUUUGUAUAUUUAUAUUUAUCUUAUCUUUUUGGUAAAAACAUUAAAUAAGGUAUUAUACUUACAAGAGUUGCACGGCUGUCUACAGUUAAUGUCGUGAGAUUUUGGUUAGUUCCUUUAAACUAACGUAAACCCUUAUUUUAUUUUCGUAUAAAGUAGUUCUCCACUAUAUUGGAUGUGAUAA